This 20-nucleotide transfer RNA is filed under the name Geopelia cuneata (diamond dove). RNAcentral describes it as "partial tRNA-Gly". The record is from RNAcentral. Lineage: Eukaryota; Metazoa; Chordata; Aves; Columbiformes; Columbidae. RNAcentral also lists the same sequence under 16 other names.
UGUAACCCCAGAGAAGAGCA